UCCUGGCUCAGGAUAGAACGCUAGCGACAGGCUUAACACAUGCAAGUCGAGGGCAACAUGAUUUUAGCUUGACUAAAAUUGAUGGCGACCGGCGCACGGGUGAGUAACGCGUAUGUAACUUGCCUACCAGGAGGGGGAUAGCCCGGCGAAAGUCGGAUUAAUACCGCAUAAAACAGGGGGUUCCGCAUGGAAAUAUUUGUUAAAGGAUUACCGCUGGUAGAUAGGCAUGCGUUCCAUUAGAUAGUUGGUGAGGUAACGGCUCACCAAGUCGACGAUGGAUAGGGGUUCUGAGAGGAAGGCCCCCCACAUUGGUACUGAGACACGGACCAAACUCCUACGGGAGGCAGCAGUGAGGAAUAUUGGUCAAUGGGCGAGAGCCUGAACCAGCCAAGUCGCGUGAAGGAUGAAGGAUCUAUGGUUUGUAAACUUCUUUUAUACGGGAAUAAAGUGUGGUACGUGUACCAUUUUGUAUGUACCGUAUGAAUAAGCAUCGGCUAACUCCGUG
RNAcentral lists this ribosomal RNA (505 nucleotides) under uncultured bacterium. RNAcentral's name for it is "bacterial SSU rRNA". It matches the Rfam family "Bacterial small subunit ribosomal RNA", at positions 17 to 507 of the family's 1533-position model. The record is from RNAcentral.